RNAcentral lists this transfer RNA (83 nucleotides) under Ceratocystis platani. It matches the Rfam family "tRNA". Rfam says of the family: Transfer RNA (tRNA) molecules are approximately 80 nucleotides in length. Their secondary structure includes four short double-helical elements and three loops (D, anti-codon, and T loops). The record is from Rfam by way of RNAcentral. Lineage: Eukaryota; Fungi; Ascomycota; Sordariomycetes; Microascales; Ceratocystidaceae.
GCCAUAAUAGUUUAGUGGUUAGAAUACGUCGUUGUGGAUCGUGGCAAUCCGACGUGACCCAUGUUCGAUUCAUGGUUAUGGCA